CUACGGACUACAGACGGGGCUGCUGCGGAUGAGCGCCGCGGGCUUUGCAACCAUUGCCUACCCUCUGCGUCAGCCUGAACAGGGGAGGCGGGGCUGUACUUGGGGGCUCGCCCGCCGCUUGGUCAUCUUGGACCGUCCCGCACAGAAGACGCACCUAGUGCUCUGCUGCCCUUCUAUGGAUAAACAUGAGUAUUGACUGGUUUCCAGAGCAAACUACAAAAGCCCAUUAACAACUCUUCCAGAACCUUGCUGCAGUGUUCUCUGGAACAGUUUUCUCUAGGACAGCGUUUGUUGGAGUGUGGACUGGGGGCAAGAAAAGCGUGAGAUCACGUUAGAUAUGCAAAUUCCCAGGCCCACCUUCGACUUAGAAUCUCUGUAGGCCAUAGUUUGUGGAUCCAUAAACUAAAGGAUGCAUCACCCUGACAGGAACAGUGCAAAAAGCCACAUGCAACUCCAGCUGAGGGGAGGAUCGCUGCACCCUGAUCCCAAGCCCCACCAUCCCCCAGUCCCAACCUGCAGGAGCCAGGUGCAGGAGAAGGAGGCUGGCCCCUGCGCCCAGGCUGGGGAAAGGAGAGUAGCUCUGAGGAAGACUGAAGUUUUAAAGACUUGGUUACACUUUUUAAUACUUGAAAACAAACAGAAGAGGCAUCUUCCUUGCCCAAAGCCAGAAUCUUCACUGGUGCUCGCCACCUGCCCAACCCCCACCCCUGCCAUCCCCCAGGGACUUUUUGCCCCAUUUACUUAUUGUUCUAAAUAAACUUUCUAUUUUAGAA
Non-coding RNA from Microcebus murinus (gray mouse lemur), 773 nucleotides. Lineage: Eukaryota; Metazoa; Chordata; Mammalia; Primates; Cheirogaleidae. The record is from RefSeq and is a predicted model, not a curated record.